AGAGUUUGAUCCUGGCUCAGGAUGAACGCUGGCGGCGUGCUUAACACAUGCAAGUCGAACGAACCUUCGGGUUAGUGGCGGACGGGUGAGUAACGCGUGAGAAUCUGCCCUCAGGAGGGGGAUAACGGUUGGAAACGACCGCUAAUACCCCAUAUGCCGAUAGGUGAAAUGAAUUUCGCCUGAGGAUGAGCUCGCGUCUGAUUAGCUAGUUGGUGAGGUAAUGGCUCACCAAGGCUUCGAUCAGUAGCUGGUCUGAGAGGAUGAUCAGCCACACUGGGACUGAGACACGGCCCAGACUCCUACGGGAGGCAGCAGUGGGGAAUUUUCCGCAAUGGGCGAAAGCCUGACGGAGCAACGCCGCGUGAGGGACGAAGGCCUCUGGGCUGUAAACCUCUUUUCUCAAGGAAGAAGAUAUGACGGUACUUGAGGAAUAAGCCACGGCUAAUUCCGUGCCAGCAGCCGCGGUAAUACGGGAGUGGCAAGCGUUAUCCGGAAUUAUUGGGCGUAAAGCGUCCGCAGGCGGCUUAUCAAGUCUGCUGUUAAAACGUGGAGCUUAACUCCAUCAUGGCAGUGGAAACUGAUAGGCUUGAGUAUGGUAGGGGCAGAGGGAAUUCCCGGUGUAGCGGUGAAAUGCGUAGAUAUCGGGAAGAACACCAGUGGCGAAGGCGCUCUGCUGGGCCAUUACUGACGCUCAUGGACGAAAGCCAGGGGAGCGAAAGGGAUUAGAUACCCCUGUAGUCCUGGCCGUAAACGAUGAACACUAGGUGUCGGAGGAAUCGACCCCUUCGGUGUCGUAGCUAACGCGUUAAGUGUUCCGCCUGGGGAGUACGCACGCAAGUGUGAAACUCAAAGGAAUUGACGGGGGCCCGCACAAGCGGUGGAGUAUGUGGUUUAAUUCGAUGCAACGCGAAGAACCUUACCAGGGUUUGACAUCCUGCGAACCUCUUAGAAAUUUGAGGGUGCCUUCGGGAAUGCAGUGACAGGUGGUGCAUGGCUGUCGUCAGCUCGUGUCGUGAGAUGUUGGGUUAAGUCCCGCAACGAGCGCAACCCACGUUUUUAGUUGCCAGCAUUUAGUUGGGCACUCUAGAAAGACCGCCGGUGAUAAACCGGAGGAAGGUGUGGAUGACGUCAAGUCAUCAUGCCCCUUACACCCUGGGCUACACACGUACUACAAUGCUACGGACAAAGGGCAGCAAACUCGCGAGAGCUAGCAAAUCCCAUAAACCGUGGCUCAGUUCAGAUCGUAGGCUGCAACUCGCCUACGUGAAGUAGGAAUCGCUAGUAAUCGCAGGUCAGCAUACUGCGGUGAAUACGUUCCCGGGCCUUGUACACACCGCCCGUCACACCAUGGAAGUUGGCCAUGCCCGAAGUCGUUACUCCAACCCUUGUGGAGGAGGACGCCGAAGGUGGGGCUAAUGACUGGGGUGAAGUCGUAACAAGGUAGCCGUACCGGAAGGUGCGGCUG
This 1465-nucleotide ribosomal RNA is filed under the name Prochlorococcus sp. AG-347-K16. RNAcentral describes it as "bacterial SSU rRNA". It matches the Rfam family "Bacterial small subunit ribosomal RNA". The record is from RNAcentral. Lineage: Bacteria; Bacillati; Cyanobacteriota; Cyanophyceae; Synechococcales; Prochlorococcaceae.